UGUGUGGAGCCCCGGGUUCGGCUGCAUCCUUGCGCUGCUCUGGGGAAUGGCAAGGAGAGGAAGAAAAGACAGACACACAGACACACAGAAAAGCUGGGAUCCUGUGGAGUGGACUCCGAGGGAGAAGCCCGGAAGCUCCUCACGUUGAAAAGGAAGCACCCUGACUUUGGGGGUUCCAAAGGAGCCAGUGUUACAGCCUGUUCAGGAGGAUGAAGGAGAUCACCUGUCUGGAACCCUAGUGCCACGCCCACAACGGUGUCGCCCGCAUGACAAAUGCCUUGGAUGAGGUAGUUA
Onychomys torridus (southern grasshopper mouse) is the source of this 294-nucleotide long non-coding RNA. RefSeq lists it as uncharacterized. The record is from RefSeq and is a predicted model, not a curated record. The transcript has 3 exons. NCBI's taxonomy places the organism in Eukaryota, Metazoa, Chordata, Mammalia, Rodentia, Cricetidae.